AACGAACGCUGGCGGCAUGCCUAACACAUGCAAGUCGAACGAGACCUUCGGGUCUAGUGGCGCACGGGUGCGUAACGCGUGGGAACCUGCCCUUAGGUUCGGAAUAACUCCCCGAAAGGGGUGCUAAUACCGGAUAAUGUCUUCGGACCAAAGAUUUAUCGCCUUUGGAUGGGCCCGCGUUGGAUUAGCCAGUUGGUAGGGUAAAAGCCUACCAAGGCGACGAUCCAUAGCUGGUCUGAGAGGAUGAUCAGCCACACUGGGGCUGAGACACGGCCCAGAAUCCUACGGGAGGCAGCAGUGGGGAAUAUUGGACAAUGGGGGAAAGCCUGAUCCAGCAAUGCCGGGUGAGUGAUGAAGGCCUUAGGGUUGUAAAGCUCUUUUACCCGGGGUGAUAAUGACAGUACCGGGAGAAUAAGCUCCGGCUAACUCCGUG
Molecule: ribosomal RNA, 433 nt
Filed under: uncultured bacterium
Lineage: Bacteria
Description: partial 16S ribosomal RNA
Rfam family: Bacterial small subunit ribosomal RNA
Source: RNAcentral